GACGAACGCUGGCGGCGUGCUUAACACAUGCAAGUCGAACGGAAAGGCCCUGCUUUUGUUGGGUUCUCGAUUGGCGAACGGGUGAGUAACACGUGAGUAACCUGCCCUUGACUUUGGGAUAACUUCAGGAAACUGGGGCUAAUAUCGGAUAGGAGCUCCUGCUGCAUGGUGGGGGUUGGAAAGUUUCGGCGGUUGGGGAUGGACUCGCGGCUUAUCAGCUUGUUGGUGGGGUAGUGGCUGACCAAGGCUUUGACGGGUAGCCGGCCUGAGAGGGUGAACGGCGACAUUGGGACUGCGGUACGGCGCAGACUCCUACGGGAGGCAGCAGUGGGGAGUCUUGCACAGUGGGCGCAAGCGUGAUGCAGCAACCCCGCGUGCGGGAUGCCGGCCUUCGGGUUGUAAACCGAUUUCGCCUGUGACGAAGCGUGAGUGACGGUAAUGGGUAAAGAAGCACCGGCUAACUACGUG
Molecule: ribosomal RNA, 468 nt
Filed under: uncultured bacterium
Lineage: Bacteria
Description: partial 16S ribosomal RNA
Rfam family: Bacterial small subunit ribosomal RNA
Source: RNAcentral